Molecule: non-coding RNA, 24 nt
Filed under: Arabidopsis thaliana (thale cress)
Lineage: Eukaryota; Viridiplantae; Streptophyta; Magnoliopsida; Brassicales; Brassicaceae
Source: RNAcentral
AUGGAGUUCUACGCAUUGGACCAU